GAUGAACGCUAGCGGCAGGCUUAAUACAUGCAAGUCGUGGGGCAGCACAGUCCGCCGAAAGGCGGAUGGGUGGCGACCGGCAAACGGGUGCGGAACACGUACGCAACCUUCCUACAGGCGGGGAAUAGCCCAGAGAAAUUUGGAUUAAUACCCCAUAAAAUUUUAAGAUGGCAUCAUCUUAUUAUUAAAGCUUCGGCACCUGAAGAUGGGCGUGCGGCUGAUUAGGAGUUGGCGGGGUAACGGCCCACCAAGCCUGCGAUCAGUAGCUGAUGUGAGAGCAUGAUCAGCCACACGGGCACUGAGACACGGGCCCGACUCCUACGGGAGGCAGCAGUAAGGAAUAUUGGUCAAUGGACGCAAGUCUGAACCAGCCAUG
This 376-nucleotide ribosomal RNA is filed under the name uncultured bacterium. Its description in RNAcentral is "bacterial SSU rRNA". It matches the Rfam family "Bacterial small subunit ribosomal RNA", at positions 28 to 396 of the family's 1533-position model. The record is from RNAcentral.